This 253-nucleotide ribosomal RNA is filed under the name uncultured bacterium. Its description in RNAcentral is "partial 16S ribosomal RNA". It matches the Rfam family "Bacterial small subunit ribosomal RNA", at positions 524 to 776 of the family's 1533-position model. The record is from RNAcentral.
UACAGAGGUCUCAAGCGUUGUUCGGAAUCACUGGGCGUAAAGGGUGCGUAGGCGGCACGGUAAGUCAGAGGUGAAAUCCCGGAGCUCAACUUCGGAAUUGCCUCCGAUACUGCCGUGCUUGAGGACUGGAGAGGAGAUUGGAAUUCACAGUGGAGCAGUGAAAUGCGUAGAUAUUGUGAGGAACACUAGUGGCGAAGGCGAAUCUCUGGACAGUUCCUGACGCUGAGGCGCGAAAGCGUGGGGAGCAAACAGG